RNAcentral lists this ribosomal RNA (327 nucleotides) under uncultured bacterium. RNAcentral describes it as "bacterial SSU rRNA". It matches the Rfam family "Bacterial small subunit ribosomal RNA", at positions 28 to 317 of the family's 1533-position model. The record is from RNAcentral.
GAUGAACGCCGGCGGUGUGCCUAAUACAUGCAAGUCGUACGCACUGACCCAACUGAUUGAUGGUGCUUGCACCUGAUUGACGAUGGAUCACCAGUGAGUGGCGGACGGGUGAGUAACACGUAGGUAACCUCCCCCGGAGCGGGGGAUAACAUUUGGAAACAGAUGCUAAUACCGCAUAACAACAAAAAACCACAUGGGCUUUUGUUUGAAAGAUGGCUUUGGCUAUCACUCUGGGAUGGACCUGCGGUGCAUUAGCUAGUUGGUAAGUAACGGCUUACCAAGGCGACGAUGCGUAGGGGUUCUGAGAGGAAGGUCCCCCANACUGGU